AGAAGAAUUAAGGUCCCAAUCGUUCUAGAAUGAAACUAGAUGGAUGCUAGUUUUGUUAAAUUGGAGGAUCACAUCUGUCCAUGUCUCUGGAGUGCAUCAAUUAUACUUCUUAUGACUAUACUAUUUAACAUAAACAAUGACAUGCCUCCGGAGUGCAUCAAUUAUACCUCUUAUGACUACACUAUUUAACAUAUAAAUACAAUAACAAUCCAUUCACGU
This 219-nucleotide long non-coding RNA is filed under the name Elaeis guineensis (African oil palm). RNAcentral describes it as "long non-coding RNA (EGUI_LNC011128)". Lineage: Eukaryota; Viridiplantae; Streptophyta; Magnoliopsida; Arecales; Arecaceae. The record is from RNAcentral.